UACGUAGGGGGCAAGCGUUGUCCGGAAUUAUUGGGCGUAAAGAGCGCGUAGGCGGUCCGGUAAGUCGGUUGUGAAAGUCGGGGGCUCAACCCUCGGAUGCCGAUCGAUACUGUCGGGCUAGAGUCCGGAAGAGGCGAGUGGAAUUCCUGGUGUAGCGGUGAAAUGCGCAGAUAUCAGGAGGAACACCAAUGGCGAAGGCAGCUCGCUGGGACGGUACUGACGCUGAGGCGACGAAAGCGUGGGGAGCAAACAGG
RNAcentral lists this ribosomal RNA (254 nucleotides) under uncultured bacterium. Its description in RNAcentral is "partial 16S ribosomal RNA". It matches the Rfam family "Bacterial small subunit ribosomal RNA", at positions 524 to 776 of the family's 1533-position model. The record is from RNAcentral.